This 255-nucleotide ribosomal RNA is filed under the name uncultured bacterium. RNAcentral's name for it is "partial 16S ribosomal RNA". It matches the Rfam family "Bacterial small subunit ribosomal RNA", at positions 99 to 354 of the family's 1533-position model. The record is from RNAcentral.
CGGACGGGUGAGUAACGCGUGGAAAACCUGCCGUAUACUGGGGGAUAACACUUAGAAAUAGGUGCUAAUACCGCAUAAGCGCACAGCUUCGCAUGAAGCGGUGUGAAAAACUCUGGUGGUAUACGAUGGUUCCGCGUCUGAUUAGCUAGUUGGUGGGGUAAUGGCCUGCCAAGGCAACGAUCAGUAGCCGGCCUGAGAGGGUGAACGGCCACAUUGGGACUGAGACACGGCCCAAACUCCUACGGAAGGCAGCAG